GACGAACGCUGGCGGCGUGCUUAACACAUGCAAGUCGAACGGAAAGGCCCUGCUUUUGUGGGGUGCUCGAGUGGCGAACGGGUGAGUAACACGUGAGUAACCUGCCCUUGACUUUGGGAUAACUUCAGGAAACUGGGGCUAAUACCGGAUAGGAGCUCCUGCUGCAUGGUGGGGGUUGGAAAGUUUCGGCGGUUGGGGAUGGACUCGCGGCUUAUCAGCUUGUUGGUGGGGUAGUGGCUUACCAAGGCUUUGACGGGUAGCCGGCCUGAGAGGGUGACCGGCCAAAUGGGAACUAGAAUACGCCCCAACCUCCUACGGGGGGAAGAGGGGGGGAAUUUUGCACAAGGGGGGGAGGCCGGAUGCGGCAACGCGGGGGGGGGGAGGAGGGCCUUGGGGUUGAAAACCCCUUUCCCUGGUAAGGAGGGGGGGGUGGCGGUAAGGGGAAAAGAAGCAGCGGCUAAUUAGGG
Molecule: ribosomal RNA, 467 nt
Filed under: uncultured bacterium
Lineage: Bacteria
Description: partial 16S ribosomal RNA
Rfam family: Bacterial small subunit ribosomal RNA
Source: RNAcentral